Molecule: ribosomal RNA, 427 nt
Filed under: uncultured bacterium
Lineage: Bacteria
Description: partial 16S ribosomal RNA
Rfam family: Bacterial small subunit ribosomal RNA
Source: RNAcentral
UGGGGAAUAUUGCACAAUGGGCGCAAGCCUGAUGCAGCCAUGCCGCGUGUAUGAAGAAGGCCUUCGGGUUGUAAAGUACUUUCAGCGGGGAGGAAGGCGAUAAGGUUAAUAACCUUGUCGAUUGACGUUACCCGCAGAAGAAGCACCGGCUAACUCCGUGCCAGCAGCCGCGGUAAUACGGAGGGUGCAAGCGUUAAUCGGAAUUACUGGGCGUAAAGCGCACGCAGGCGGUCUGUCCAGUCGGAUGUGAAAUCCCCGGGCUCAACCUGGGAACUGCAUUCGAAACUGGCAGGCUAGAGUCUUGUAGAGGGGGGUAGAAUUCCAGGUGUAGCGGUGAAAUGCGUAGAGAUCUGGAGGAAUACCGGUGGCGAAGGCGGCCCCCUGGACAAAGACUGACGCUCAGGUGCGAAAGCGUGGGGAGCAAACA